This 335-nucleotide long non-coding RNA is filed under the name Eucalyptus grandis. RNAcentral's name for it is "long non-coding RNA (EGRA_LNC002619)". The record is from RNAcentral. Lineage: Eukaryota; Viridiplantae; Streptophyta; Magnoliopsida; Myrtales; Myrtaceae.
GAUUUAGAGCUGAAUUAAUCACCGUAGAAUAAUUUGAAAACUUUUUGGAUAGUUUUUCAAAAAAAAAAAAAAAAGCACGUGCAAAUCCACAAUGCAAUUAGUGGCCUUCUUUCAACCAAAAUAAUAAUAAUAAUAAUAAUAAUAAUCACCUCCUUAAUUUAGCCGCUUACUUCAUUUGAGAAAUGGGGGACUCCAAAAAAAAGAAGCAAUUGCACAGGUACUUGGGGAACGCAAUGGGGAGGGGCGGGGUUUACGCCCCUGUUCGCGACUUAAAACUAGUAGAGAUGUCCAUACGCACCUCAUGCCUCAUGCAGGACAAGUUUCUUUAUCCCAUC